AAUCCCGUGAACCAUCGAGUCUUUGAACGCAAGUUGCGCCCCAAGCCGUCAGGCCGAGGGCACGUCUGCCUGGGUGUCACG
Molecule: ribosomal RNA, 81 nt
Filed under: Swietenia mahagoni (West Indian mahogany)
Lineage: Eukaryota; Viridiplantae; Streptophyta; Magnoliopsida; Sapindales; Meliaceae
Description: partial 5.8S ribosomal RNA
Rfam family: 5.8S ribosomal RNA
About the family: 5.8S ribosomal RNA (5.8S rRNA) is a component of the large subunit of the eukaryotic ribosome. It is transcribed by RNA polymerase I as part of the 45S precursor that also contains 18S and 28S rRNA. Functionally, it is thought that 5.8S rRNA may be involved in ribosome translocation.
Source: RNAcentral